UUUUAUCCAUAUUGACCCAAAUGAACUGCCACAUUGCUGAAGCCUUGUGAACACAGACCACCACCAUACUGCUGAGGGUAAAAUUUGCUAAACAAUAGCAAUUCAAGUGCAUGUACUAGGGUUUUUUGUUUUUUUUUUUUCCCUUAAAUCAGUUGGUUUUCUUAUUUAAAUGUUUCAGUGUGAGACCAAUUUUCUGAAAUUAUAUAAUGCAGUUUGAAGCACUUUAAUUUAUUCUGUACUGUAUUUGUUAUUUCUAAUCUUGUUACUCUCCCGGGAGAAUACAUGACCUAUAUAAAAAGAAGCAAUGUAUAAAU
RNAcentral lists this long non-coding RNA (314 nucleotides) under Bos taurus (domestic cattle). Its description in RNAcentral is "long non-coding RNA NONBTAT017022". Lineage: Eukaryota; Metazoa; Chordata; Mammalia; Artiodactyla; Bovidae. The record is from RNAcentral.